RNAcentral lists this long non-coding RNA (346 nucleotides) under Homo sapiens (human). RNAcentral's name for it is "HSALNT0023348". The record is from RNAcentral. Lineage: Eukaryota; Metazoa; Chordata; Mammalia; Primates; Hominidae.
GUGCUACCUUCCAAUCUCCUCCUUGACCUCAUAGAAGGAGUGCAGCUUCCUCCGGUGGCUUUGCUUCUCUGAGUCCGGCUCAUUGUCCCCUAAGGAGUGGGAAGCGGCUGGUAUGGGCAAAGGUGACCACCCUGAUCCCCAUGGAACCCAAUGCUGUGGUGUUGACGGGAGCUGCUCCAUGGACCCAAGACUAUGGAACCACACUCACCCAGGGACAGGGUCCUAUGGACACCAAGUUCACCGCCACUUGCCUCUCCCCAGUGGAGGGUUCUGGCCCCUCUGAGGAGACACGGUGAGUAGAAUGUGGGGGUCCCAGGCUGGGGCAGGGCUGGGACAGGCUGGGAGG